GACGAACGCUGGCGGCGUGCUUAACACAUGCAAGUCGAACGGAAAGGCCCUGCUUUUGUGGGGUGCUCGAGUGGCGAAGGGGUGAGUAACACGUGAGUAACCUGCCCUUGACUUUGGGAUAACUUCAGGAAACUGGGGCUAAUACCGGAUAGGAGCUCCUGCUGCAUGGGGGGGGUUGGAAAGUUUCGGCGGUUGGGGAUGGACUCGCGGCUUAUCAGCUGGUUGGUGGGGGAGUGGCUUACCAAGGCUUUGGCGGGUAGCCGGCCUGGGAGGGUGACCGGCCACAUUGGGACUGGGAUACGGCCCAGACUCCUACGGGAGGCAGCGGUGGGGAAUAUUGCCCAAUGGGCGGAAGCCUGAUGCGGCAACGCCGCGUGCGGGAUGACGGCCUUCGGGUUGUAAACCGCUUUCGCCUGUGACGAAGCGUGAGUGACGGUAAUGGGUAAAGAAGCACCGGCUAACUACGUG
This 468-nucleotide ribosomal RNA is filed under the name uncultured bacterium. RNAcentral describes it as "partial 16S ribosomal RNA". It matches the Rfam family "Bacterial small subunit ribosomal RNA", at positions 28 to 507 of the family's 1533-position model. The record is from RNAcentral.